RNAcentral lists this unclassified non-coding RNA (266 nucleotides) under Hevea brasiliensis (rubber tree). Lineage: Eukaryota; Viridiplantae; Streptophyta; Magnoliopsida; Malpighiales; Euphorbiaceae. The record is from RNAcentral.
UCCGGACCCGCUCUGACCGACGAUGAGCGCGCAUUUUUGCGCGAUCAGCGGCCGUGGGGCUUCAUCCUUUUCAAGCGCAAUAUCGAGACACCUGACCAAGUCGUUCGACUGGUUGAGGAAAUGCGCUCGGCCAUAGGCCAACCCGGAGCGCCGGUCCUGAUCGACCAGGAAGGCGGCCGGGUCCAGCGGCUCCCGGCCCCCCACCGGUGGCCGGUAUAUCCGCCCGGGGCGGUCUUCGGCGCGUUGUACGACGUUGACCGGGAAAC